CGUCGUCAAUUGAGCUAGUUUUUGCCUCCCAGUAGAGCUUCUUACUCUAUUUAUGUGACACACUUAUUCGUCGAGCUAAAGAUUAUGGCAAACGUGUUUUUACUUCACUUCAUUUUCAUAUGUUUGUUUUUUCUUUUCGCCUUCUUAUUCUUCUUCUUCUUUUUCAGCGAUAACAAUAGUCACAAUUCAUCAGGAACUCUCACAAAUCGAUGCGUUUCUAAUUUCCUACACUUGAGAGAUGGGCCUCGGCUACGAGUUCUUAUCGCGCACCGAUCCAAUCGCCGACUGAGCCGCGAUCCGUUCCACGAUUUUUGUCGCGACGCUUGGCUCACAGUCAGCUCUGAUCUUUCUCAUUUGUUUGUAUAUAUGUUGAGUGUUUUCGGGCUGGGGCUGACUUGAAAUAGUGCAGACAUUAACACAAAGCUGGAGCGUCGAAAAGACUGUCCGCUGCUCGAGAGCUGAAUGUCUAGAAUGACUGUGGAGUGCUUGAAUUUGAGACUCGGAGUGCCACUCAGAGAGUGAGACAUUGAGUGAGUCUCGCUGAAUGAGAGAGUGUACAGUCAAGCGAAGCGAGGCAGGUACUGAAUCAGUCAGUGAAGUGCUCUUACACAAAUUGAGUCAGCACUACCUUAGAUAUAAAUAUAUAUA
RNAcentral lists this small RNA (648 nucleotides) under Drosophila mojavensis. RNAcentral's name for it is "GI26281". The record is from RNAcentral. Lineage: Eukaryota; Metazoa; Arthropoda; Insecta; Diptera; Drosophilidae.